GACGAACGCUGGCGGCGUGCUUAACACAUGCAAGUCGAACGGAAAGGCCCUGCUUUUGUGGGGUGCUCGAGUGGCGAACGGGUGAGUAACACGUGAGUAACCUGCCCUUGACUUUGGGAUAACUUCAGGAAACUGGGGCUAAUACCGGAUAGGAGCUCCUGCUGCAUGGUGGGGGUUGGAAAGUUUCGGCGGUUGGGAUGGACUCGCGGCUUAUCAGCUUGUUGGUGGGGUAGUGGCUUACCAAGGCUUUGACGGGUAGCCGGCCUGAGAGGGUGACCGGCCACAUUGGGACUGAGAUACGGCCCAGACUCCUACGGGAGGCAGCAGUGGGGAGUAUUGCACAAUGGGCGGAAGCCUGAUGCAGCAACGCCGCGUGCGGGAUGACGGCCUUCGGGUUGUAAACCGCUUUCGCCUGUGACGAAGCGUGAGUGACGGUAAUGGGUAAAGAAGCACCGGCUAACUACGUG
This 467-nucleotide ribosomal RNA is filed under the name uncultured bacterium. Its description in RNAcentral is "partial 16S ribosomal RNA". It matches the Rfam family "Bacterial small subunit ribosomal RNA", at positions 28 to 507 of the family's 1533-position model. The record is from RNAcentral.